GCCUGGCUGGCUCAGUGGGUAAAGCGUGAGACUCUUGAUCUCAGGGUCAUGAGUUCAAGCCCCACGUUGGGCA
Ailuropoda melanoleuca (giant panda) is the source of this 73-nucleotide non-coding RNA. Lineage: Eukaryota; Metazoa; Chordata; Mammalia; Carnivora; Ursidae. The record is from Rfam.